UCCUUGGUAGUCUAGUGGUUAAGGACUUAGUGUUGUUACUGCUGUGGGUUCAGGUUUGAUUCCUGGCCUGGGAA
RNAcentral lists this transfer RNA (74 nucleotides) under Sus scrofa (pig). It matches the Rfam family "tRNA". From Rfam's summary of the family: Transfer RNA (tRNA) molecules are approximately 80 nucleotides in length. Their secondary structure includes four short double-helical elements and three loops (D, anti-codon, and T loops). Lineage: Eukaryota; Metazoa; Chordata; Mammalia; Artiodactyla; Suidae. The record is from Rfam by way of RNAcentral.